GGGGCUGCACUGGUUUCGACACGGGUUCGGACGCGUAGCAGGGCAUGUCGAGCUGAAUGCGCUCGUAAAACAGAUUCAAACAAACUAACUGCAAACGACGAACGUUUCGCACUCGCUGCUUAAUUGCACGUGAGGCUCACAACAGCAAGCCGAUAGGCUGGGCAAGGGUGGCGCAAGCCGUCCAGGCUGUGGGCUAAUUUCAUUCGGCUGGAUCUGCUUUGGGUAACUUAGGGCAGGUCGAGAUAAUAGGUUGCUGGCGUCUUGCAUAGCGUGCCACUGCGCGAUGUAGGAAGCGAGACUUAAACCAGAUGGCUACACAUGUAGAACUGUUCGAAGAAGGCUUGUGGACGCGGGUUCAAAUCCCGCCAGCUCCACCA
This 377-nucleotide transfer-messenger RNA is filed under the name Burkholderiales. Its description in RNAcentral is "Rhodoferax_C sp002251855 Standard tmRNA". It matches the Rfam family "transfer-messenger RNA". From Rfam's summary of the family: Bacterial tmRNA, also known as 10Sa RNA or SsrA, is named for its dual tRNA and mRNA-like properties. Its role is to liberate the mRNA from a stalled ribosome. The record is from RNAcentral. Lineage: Bacteria; Pseudomonadati; Pseudomonadota; Betaproteobacteria. RNAcentral also lists the same sequence under 1 other name.